CUUUUAAUUCUUUCAUUAAUCUUCUGGCACUGCUUUAUCCAACACAUGUCCAUGAGUCACUCCUUCUGUAUGGAUGUAAGAGAAUCUCUCUCACUGACUGACAUGAGAUCUUCAUUCCUUGCUGAAAUGUAUGGCUCCAUGGCUUGGCAAUGACAGUGGCGUGCAGGUGGGGACGAGGCUCUCAAGCUCCAUAAGAAAAAUGAUCUCCAUGGGUCUCAGCAUCCUCAUGCUCUGACGUGUGGUCCUCCACAGGCUGCAGGUGGAUGUCUGCUCCACCAUUAACCUCGAUGAGCUGCAGGGGGACAGUCUGCCUCACUGUGGUGUUCACCAUGGUCCACAGGGAAAUCUCUUCUAUGGCAUCUGGAACACCUUCUCCUUCUUCACUGUCCUUGGUGUCUGCAGAGUUGUUUCUCUCACAUACUCUUACUUCUCUCUCCACUGCCGCUGUGUCACAGUUCCCCCCCCCCCCUUCUUAAAUACAUCAUCACAGAGACAUUACCAUCAUCACUGAUGGACUUGGCCUUGGAGCUGGCUUGCAUUGACUCUCUCCAACAUUGGGGAAGCUUCUAGCAGCUUCUUACAGAAGCCACCUCUGAAGCCCUGCCACUACCAAAACCUUGCCUUGCAAACCUAAUAUCUUAAAAAAAUAGAAGGAUUUUAAAUUUAAUAAUUAAAUGCAGGUGCAUUGACCAUGCAAAGAAAGAAUGUGGAUGACUGCCAUCAACAUGGAUUCUUAGUAUAUUAGCAGUCCUAAUGACGGAAACAGUGACUUCUGUAGGAAAAAGCCAAAGAAGUCAUGACUUCCUAUUCAUGCAGAACAUUCUUGUAAUUAACAUAAGAAGUCUCCCAGAAAAUCUUGAGUUAAUCUUGAACACUUUCAGCCAUCCAUCUCAAAACAGUUGGUCUUAAUUAACUUAUAGAGGCCUUGGGUUUCAUAGUGGCCAGUAAUCAUCUGGGGUUUGUGUGUUUAACCAGAGUCUUAAGAAACCUUGACUUGAAUAUUCCAUCUUAAUAUUCAGACAUAGAGGCCUGUGUGUUUGUUAAGACAUUAAUUCUGAAUGACAUUUCUAUGUCUCUGAUACCCUUUUUCCACUGAGAUGAUAACUGAGCUCUGACUCAAUAGA
Long non-coding RNA from Calidris pugnax (ruff), 1124 nucleotides. RefSeq lists it as uncharacterized. The record is from RefSeq and is a predicted model, not a curated record. Lineage: Eukaryota; Metazoa; Chordata; Aves; Charadriiformes; Scolopacidae. The transcript has 3 exons.